ACUGGCUACCAGCAUGAAAUAUUACUUGAGCUUGAUAAUAUACAGCAAGAUAGUUGUUUCAGUGCUUGUCCAAAUUGGGUCACAGAAUGUUUAACCUUGUAACUUACAACAAAAUUUAGACCAAGAAAUGAUACACACAUUCUAGAACUCUCCAUCAUUCAAGUUGGGCAUACCAGAUACCCUGGAUUUUGACAUCCUUGGGAACCUUUGCCCCCAGAUCAGUAUCAGAUGGCUGGAUGCUCUCAAAUACUCCAAUGACCUCACCAGUCUCUGGCUUGCUCUGGGUAACACUCAAGGUGAUCUUUCCUGUUAAAGAUGCAGUGUUCUUUACGUUCUCCUUCUGAAGCUCCUCCUCGUCUCCUCUCCCUCCAGCAGGCAAUGCAACAGCGUUGUCAUAGCCAGUAGAUCCACCUCGUCCCUUUGGGUCAAGGAAGGAUGAACCUCUGUAUGAUGGCACAAGGAACUCACCACUAAAGCUUUCUGGCUUGCCGCUUGCCACAAGCUGUUUGAUAGUGAAGAGGAAGGGCACACGCUCACCACCAGGAAGCUGAACUGUAACAGCAGCAUAAUCAAUUCCAUCCUUCUCCUCAAACUUAACAGUGCCAUCCGGAGACACUUCAAAUGGUCCCUCAAUCUCAUCAAGAGUGUAGGUUAAGCGUGUCAUGAGCUUGGUUUUUUGGAAGUCUGGGGCUGAGUUCUUGCUGACACCCUCUGCCUUGACUGUGAAUGAUGUGGGCUCUAGGCAGAAUUUCUUGGCAGUGUAUUUGCCUGGUUUGAAGGCAAAGCUGCCAACACCUCCUUCAAUGGUAGGACAUUGGUUAGCAGUUCCAGUUCCCUUUACUUCCA
This 846-nucleotide unclassified non-coding RNA is filed under the name Hevea brasiliensis (rubber tree). The record is from RNAcentral. Lineage: Eukaryota; Viridiplantae; Streptophyta; Magnoliopsida; Malpighiales; Euphorbiaceae.